AAUGAACGCUGGCGGCGCGCCUAAUACAUGCAAGUCGAGCGAGAAGACGUAGCAAUACGUUUGUAAAGCGGCGAACGGGUGAGGAAUACAUGGGUAACCUACCCUAGAGUGGGGAAUAACUAGCCGAAAGGUUAGCUAAUACCGCGUACGCUCCUUGGACUUCGGUUCAGGGAGGAAAGCGAUACCGAGGGUAUCGCGCUCUUGGAUGGGCUCAUGUCCUAUCAGCUUGNGGUGAGGUAACGGCUCACCAAGGCUUCGACGGGUAGCUGGUCUGAGAGGACGAUCAGCCACACUGGCACUGCGACACGGGCCAGACUCCUACGGGAGGCAGCAGUAAGGAAUAUUGCGCAAUGGGCGAAAGCCUGACGCAGCGACGCCGCGUGGGGGAUGAAGGUCUUCGGAUUGUAAACCCCUUUCGGGAGGGAAGAUGGAACGAGCAAUCGUUCGGACGGUACCUCCAGAAGCAGCCACGGCUAACUUCGUGCCAGCAGCCGCA
Molecule: ribosomal RNA, 496 nt
Filed under: uncultured bacterium
Lineage: Bacteria
Description: bacterial SSU rRNA
Rfam family: Bacterial small subunit ribosomal RNA
Source: RNAcentral